RNAcentral lists this long non-coding RNA (498 nucleotides) under Phoenix dactylifera (date palm). Its description in RNAcentral is "long non-coding RNA (PDAC_LNC010658)". Lineage: Eukaryota; Viridiplantae; Streptophyta; Magnoliopsida; Arecales; Arecaceae. The record is from RNAcentral.
AAGAACUUGAGAGAAAAUCUAAUUUUCAGUUUGAUCAAACUAAGAGUGAAGUUUCUCUUGAUAAGGGGCAUUUCUGUAAUUCUGUUAAUUAAAGAAGUGAAACUUGAAUGUGCCGUACUUUAUCAAUUUCAUUAGAAUAUCUUUUUAUUACUUAAAUGUGCUAAGCUAACCAUCAAGUGCAGAAAAACAGGGUUAGAGUCGACCCCAAGUAGUUUGGAGUCGACUCUGAUACACUUGGCACGAAUUGGCAUGGUGUGGCACAAGCUUGGAACAUUUGGCACAGAGUUGGAGUCGACCUUGGCACACUCUGGCACAAAAUGGCACAGAUGGCACAGACCUUGGGUCGACCCUAGGAAACCUUGAGCCGACCCCAGGUUGAGUCGACCCCAAGACAUGAUGAGCCGACCCCAGUCAAAAGAGCCAAAAAAGCAACUCUCUGGAGUUCAUGAGAGGGUCGACCCCAGAUGAUCUUGAGUCGACCCCACUGAAGCUUGAGUC